This is a ribosomal RNA of Bison bison bison, 120 nucleotides long. Lineage: Eukaryota; Metazoa; Chordata; Mammalia; Artiodactyla; Bovidae. The record is from Ensembl.
GUCUCAGGCCGGAUCAGCCUGAAGGCGCCCGAUCUCGUCUGAUCUCGGAAGCUAAGCAGGGUCGGGCCUGCUUAGUAUCUUGGAUGGGAGACCACCUGGGAAUCCCGGGUGCUCGAGGCU